ACUCAAAGGAAUAGACGGGGGCCCGCACAAGCGGCGGAGCAUGUUGCUUAAUUCGACGCAACGCGAAGAACCUUACCAAGGUUUGACAUGGCCGGAAAACUCGCAGAGAUGCGGGGUCCUUCGGGGCCGGUCACAGGUGGUGCAUGGCUGUCGUCAGCUCGUGUCGUGAGAUGUUGGGUUAAGUCCCGCAACGAGCGCAACCCUCGUCCCAUGUUGCCAGCAAGUAAUGUUGGGGACUCAUGGGAGACUGCCGGGGUCAACUCGGAGGAAGGUGGGGAUGACGUCAAGUCAUCAUGCCCCUUAUGUCUUGGGCUGCAAACAUGCUACAAUGGCCGGUACAAAGCGCUGCGACAUCGUGAGAUGAAGCGAAUCGCAUAAAGCCGGUCUCAGUUCGGAUCGGGGUCUGCAACCCGGCCCCGUGAAGCCGGAGUCGCUAGUAAUCGCGGAUCAGCAACGCCGCGGUGAAUACGUUCCCGGGCCUUGUACACACCGCCCGU
RNAcentral lists this ribosomal RNA (497 nucleotides) under uncultured bacterium. RNAcentral's name for it is "partial 16S ribosomal RNA". It matches the Rfam family "Bacterial small subunit ribosomal RNA", at positions 899 to 1397 of the family's 1533-position model. The record is from RNAcentral.